This 555-nucleotide non-coding RNA is filed under the name Suillus luteus. The record is from RNAcentral. Lineage: Eukaryota; Fungi; Basidiomycota; Agaricomycetes; Boletales; Suillaceae.
GGGUAACUGUUAAUUAUCGAAAAUCUGGUUAAUAGCGGUCUUAACUAUGAGGAUCAAAAUUAGGGUCCUCUAUAAACUUAGCUAUAUGCUGGAAACCUUAAAAUUAUAAAUUAUCAUUAUUUUUGUUUUUAUCUAAAUUAAUUUUUAUAAUUUAAUAUUAUUUAAUUAUAACUUUUUUUGUUUAUAAAUAAAUAGAUAAAUAAAUAACUAAAUAAAUAAAUAGAUAAAUAGAUAAAUAAGCCAGUAAUUUAAAUUAAUAAAUAAGUGAUUAAACUUAAUGACUUAAAAUAAUUUAUUAUUAGAAAAUAAAGGUAACCAGCAGGGAAAAUUAAAAGUAAAUUUUUAUUAAAUUAAUUAUCUUUUUAAUAGUUUUUUUUAUUUAUUUAAUAUGCCCUCAGAGAUUGCAAGCUAAGCAAUUUUUAUUUUUAUUUUAAAUAAAAAAUAUUAAUAUUAAUUGAUGAUACAAUCCACAAAUAACUUAAAAUAUAAUCUAAAGUUAUAACUUAAAAUAUAAUCUAAAGUUUUUUUGCCUAAGGUAGCAAAAUAAAUUGGCCA